CAUUUUCCCCUUUUACAAAACGUAACGAAAAGGCUCAAUUCCCGAAGAUUUUUUCCUUUAACAAAACUUGACGCGAAAGGCUUUAUUCCAGGAGUUUUUUCUCUUUAAUAAAAUGUAAAGUAAAAGGUCAAAUUACAGUGUAUUUUCAAUUU
Long non-coding RNA from Bradysia coprophila, 152 nucleotides. The record is from RefSeq and is a predicted model, not a curated record. NCBI's taxonomy places the organism in Eukaryota, Metazoa, Arthropoda, Insecta, Diptera, Sciaridae.